GACAGAGGGUGCAAACGUUGUUCGGAAUCACUGGGCGUAAAGCGUCCGCAGGUGGGUGUGUGUGUCGGAUGUGAAAGCCCAGGGCUCAACCCUGGAACUGCAUUCGAAACUGCACAUCUUGAGUACGGGAGAGGGAAGCAGAAUUCCUGGUGUAGAGGUGAAAUUCGUAGAUAUCAGGAGGAAUACCUGUGGCGAAAGCGGCUUCCUGGUCCGAUACUGACACUCAUGGACGAAAGCGCGGGGAGCAAACAGG
This 253-nucleotide ribosomal RNA is filed under the name uncultured bacterium. Its description in RNAcentral is "partial 16S ribosomal RNA". It matches the Rfam family "Bacterial small subunit ribosomal RNA", at positions 524 to 776 of the family's 1533-position model. The record is from RNAcentral.